This is a long non-coding RNA of Helianthus annuus (common sunflower), 1001 nucleotides long. RefSeq lists it as uncharacterized. Lineage: Eukaryota; Viridiplantae; Streptophyta; Magnoliopsida; Asterales; Asteraceae. The record is from RefSeq and is a predicted model, not a curated record. The transcript has 2 exons.
CUCUAUUUAAAGGGACCCCUCAUUUGCUGCAUACCCACACAACAAACCCACAAAUUGCUCUCACUCUCUCACUCGAAUACAUGUACAGAACACAAACAACCUUUAUACUUUCAAAUACCCACACAAAUCCUAUCCAUUUCUUACAUUUACUCUCUCCCUCUCGAUAUUACUUACACAAACACAACCACACUCCCUCAUCCUCUUCCCCUCCGAUGAAGGUGAACGGCCGGACUCCGGCCAGGCAUGGCGGAGCCGGCGGCGGCGGUGGUCAUUCCAGCCAAAGACACCCUCAAUCACACCCACCUAGCCCCCCCUCUUCAAGCAACAAGACGGACCACCACCACCACAGUUGGGUGGUGGUGAGCGGCGAACCAAACAGAGAGAGAGAGAGAGAGAGAGAGAGAGAGAGAGAGAGAGCGUCGGAGAUAGGAGCAGCACCGCCGCUCACGGCAACGGCGGCGGUGGAGGCGACGACGGGUGUCUCUCGGCGGCGUCACAUCAUGGUCCGGCGAUGGUGAUUGUUUGACGGAAACAAUGGAUGCUGUUUAUGUUGAAGACGGUGAUAGUGGUGGCUUCGGGUGUUCGACUCAGCUCCGGUGACGGCUGUGGAAUAAUGGUGGUGCUGAUGUUCGGUUUCAGAUUAUGGUUUCGGGUCAAUCCGGGUCAAACCCGGUCAACAUAUGUUAAGAUCAGUCAACAACAGUCAACCCGAUCGGAUGUGGGUUCGAGUCAACACAUCGGGUCUUGCGGUUCGUGGUUCGGUUCGGUUGGCUCAGUUAAACCGAGUCGACUCAGCGGGUCAACUCAGUCAAACUGAGUCAACUCAGUCAACCGGUUCAGCGUUCUGACACGAAGAGUGGUAAAGUUUUAACGGCGAAUACGUUAUUUCUAUAAAUUUUUAUUACAUAUGUGAAAUCGAGCUCACACGAACGGUUUAGUGUUUAGUCUAUACUUUGUCGUUUUUACGAAAAUUUAUAUAUUAGUGAUUGAAUAUUGUUGAA